AUCCGGCUGACGAGUCCCAAACAGGACGAAACGCGCAUCCUGGAU
Molecule: non-coding RNA, 45 nt
Filed under: Schistosoma curassoni
Lineage: Eukaryota; Metazoa; Platyhelminthes; Trematoda; Strigeidida; Schistosomatidae
Source: RNAcentral